RNAcentral lists this ribosomal RNA (1495 nucleotides) under metagenome. RNAcentral describes it as "bacterial SSU rRNA". It matches the Rfam family "Bacterial small subunit ribosomal RNA". The record is from RNAcentral.
AGAGUUUGAUCCUGGCUCAGGAUGAACGCUAGCUACAGGCUUAACACAUGCAAGUCGAGGGGAAACGAUAUUGGAAGCUUGCUUCCGAUAGGCGUCGACCGGCGCACGGGUGAGUAACGCGUAUCCAACCUGCCCACCACUUGGGGAUAACCUUGCGAAAGUAAGACUAAUACCCAAUGAUAUCUCUAGAAGACAUCUGAAAGAGAUUAAAGAUUUAUCGGUGAUGGAUGGGGAUGCGUCUGAUUAGCUUGUUGGCGGGGUAACGGCCCACCAAGGCAACGAUCAGUAGGGGUUCUGAGAGGAAGGUCCCCCACAUUGGAACUGAGACACGGUCCAAACUCCUACGGGAGGCAGCAGUGAGGAAUAUUGGUCAAUGGACGAGAGUCUGAACCAGCCAAGUAGCGUGCAGGAAGACGGCCCUAUGGGUUGUAAACUGCUUUUAUAAGGGAAUAAAGUGAGAGUCGUGACUCUUUUUGCAUGUACCUUAUGAAUAAGGACCGGCUAAUUCCGUGCCAGCAGCCGCGGUAAUACGGAAGGUCCGGGCGUUAUCCGGAUUUAUUGGGUUUAAAGGGAGCGUAGGCCGGAGAUUAAGCGUGUUGUGAAAUGUAGACGCUCAACGUCUGCACUGCAGCGCGAACUGGUUUCCUUGAGUACGCACAAAGUGGGCGGAAUUCGUGGUGUAGCGGUGAAAUGCUUAGAUAUCACGAAGAACUCCGAUUGCGAAGGCAGCUCACUGGGCACCAACUGACGCUGAGGCUCGAAAGUGUGGGUAGCAAACAGGAUUAGAUACCCUGGUAGUCCACACCGUAAACGAUGAUUACUAGGUGUUGGAGGAUUGACCCCUUCAGUGCCGCAGUUAACACAAUAAGUAAUCCACCUGGGGAGUACGACCGCAAGGUUGAAACUCAAAGGAAUUGACGGGGGCCCGCACAAGCAGUGGAGUAUGUGGUUUAAUUCGACGCAACGCGAAGAACCUUACCAAGUCUUGACAUCCUGCGACGAUGCUAGAAAUAGUAUUUUCCUUCGGGACGCAGAGACAGGUGGUGCAUGGUUGUCGUCAGCUCGUGUCGUGAGAUGUUGGGUUAAGUCCCGCAACGAGCGCAACCCUUAUGGUCAGUUACUACGCAAGAGGACUCUGGCCAGACUGCCGUUGACAAAACGGAGGAAGGUGGGGAUGACGUCAAAUCAUCAUGCCCUUUAUGACUUGGGCUACACACGUACUACAAUGGCGUUAAACAAAGAGAAGCAAGACCGCGAGGUGGAGCAAAACUCAGAAACAACGUCCCAGUUCGGACUGCAGGCUGCAACUCGCCUGCACGAAGUCGGAAUUGCUAGUAAUCGUGGAUCAGCAUGCCACGGUGAAUACGUUCCCGGGCCUUGUACACACCGCCCGUCACACCAUGAGAGCCGGGGGGACCCGAAGUCGGUAGUCUAACCGCAAGGAGGACGCCGCCGAAGGUAAAACUGGUGAUUGGGGUGAAGUCGUAACAAGGUA